CUUUGCAGCGUCGGUACGUAGUCAUCCGGGUUGCCGCAAGGCCUCCCGGGUAACCUACCACCCUUUGUUUAUUACACUUUGUUGCUUUGGCAGGCCUGCCCUCGGGCUGCUGGCUCCGGCCGGCGAGCGUCUGCCAGAGGACCUAAACUCUGUUUGUCUAUAAUGUCUGAGUACUAUAUAAUAGUUAAAACUUUCAACAACGGAUCUCUUGGUUCUGGCAUCGAUGAAGAACGCAGCGAAAUGCGAUAAGUAAUGUGAAUUGCAGAAUUCAGUGAAUCAUCGAAUCUUUGAACGCACAUUGCGCCCCCUGGUAUUCCGGGGGGCAUGCCUGUCCGAGCGUCAUUACAACCCUCAAGCUCAGCUUGGUGUUGGGCCCCGCCGCCCCGGCGGGCCCUAAAGUCAGUGGCGGUGCCGUCCGGCUCCGAGCGUAGUAAUUCUUCUCGCUCUGGAGGUCCGGUCGUGUGCUUGCCAGCAACCCCCAAUUUUUUUCAGGUUGACCUCGGAUCAGGUAGGGAUACCCGCUGAACUUAAGCAUAUCAAUAAGCGGAGGAA
Molecule: ribosomal RNA, 552 nt
Filed under: Onygenales sp. OUCMBIII101035
Lineage: Eukaryota; Fungi; Ascomycota; Eurotiomycetes; Onygenales
Description: eukaryotic LSU rRNA
Rfam family: 5.8S ribosomal RNA (bases 189-342)
Source: RNAcentral